AACAAGGCCUUUACUGACGCUAAAGCUCGAAGGUGCGGGUAUCGAACAGGAUUAGAUACCCUGGUAGUCCGCACGGUAAACGAUGGAUGCCCGCUGUUUGCGAUAUACUGUGAGCGGCCAAGAGAAAUCGUUAAGCAUCCCACCUGGGGAGUACGCCGGCAACGGUGAAACUCAAAGGAAUUGACGGGGGCCCGCACAAGCGGAGGAACAUGUGGUUUAAUUCGAUGAUACGCGAGGAACCUUACCCGGGCUUGAACUGCAGCGGAAGGAUACAGAAAUGUUGACGCCCUUCGGGGCCGCUGUGGAGGUGCUGCAUGGUUGUCGUCAGCUCGUGCCGUGAGGUGUCGGCUUAAGUGCCAUAACGAGCGCAACCCUUUUCAUUAGUUGCCAUCAGGUAAUGCUGGGCACUCUGGUGAUACUGCCACCGUAAGGUGUGAGGAAGGUGGGGAUGACGUCAAAUCAGCACGGCCCUUACGUCCGGGGCUACACACGUGUUACAAUGGGAGGUACAGAGAGACGGUUGUACGUAAGUGCGAUCAAAUCCUAAAAGCCUUCCUCAGUUCGGAUUGGGGUCUGCAACCCGACCCCAUGAAGCUGGAUU
RNAcentral lists this ribosomal RNA (601 nucleotides) under uncultured bacterium. Its description in RNAcentral is "bacterial SSU rRNA". It matches the Rfam family "Bacterial small subunit ribosomal RNA", at positions 727 to 1332 of the family's 1533-position model. The record is from RNAcentral.